GAUGAACGCUGGCGGCGUGCCUAAUACAUGCAAGUAGAACGCUGAAGGAGGAGCUUGCUCUUCUGGAUGAGUUGCGAACGGGUGAGUAACGCGUAGGUAACCUGCCUGGUAGCGGGGGAUAACUAUUGGAAACGAUAGCUAAUACCGCAUGACAACAGUUAUUGCAUGAUAACUGUUUAAAAGGGGCAACUGCUCCACUACCAGAUGGACCUGCGUUGUAUUAGCUAGUUGGUGAGGUAACGGCUCACCAAGGCGACGAUACAUAGCCGACCUGAGAGGGGGAUCGGCCACACUGGGACUGAGACACGGCCCAGACUCCUACGGGAGGGAGCAGUAGGGAAUCUUCAGCAAUGGACGGAAGUCUGACCGAGCAACGCCGCGUGAGUGAAGAAGGUUUUCGGAUCGUAAAGCUCUGUUGUAAGAGAAGAACGAGUGUGAGAGUGGAAAGUUCACACUGUGACGGUAUCUUACCAGAAAGGGACGGCUAACUACGUG
Molecule: ribosomal RNA, 495 nt
Filed under: uncultured bacterium
Lineage: Bacteria
Description: partial 16S ribosomal RNA
Rfam family: Bacterial small subunit ribosomal RNA
Source: RNAcentral